Molecule: long non-coding RNA, 5140 nt
Filed under: Oryza sativa (Asian cultivated rice)
Lineage: Eukaryota; Viridiplantae; Streptophyta; Magnoliopsida; Poales; Poaceae
Description: long non-coding RNA (OSAT_LNC000846)
Source: RNAcentral
GUGGACCAAAAUCUGCAAGAUUUGGAGGUAGAUUUUCAGUCAACAUAUCGUUAGCAUUUAUCGGCGAAAAAAAAUGAGGGCCCUAAAUGUGUUGGGCUGAUAUAUAGCCCACAGUUUAUUGGGCCCACUUGAGGACCAAACAUUAGCUCUUUAGGCCCAUUUUUUAGGCCCAGUCGUUGGGGAAGCCCGACGAUGGCGAGCAGUCCGCCGCAACAGCCGACGACGGCGGCGGGAGGCGCCGGCGUUCUUCCCGCCGCCGGCGCGCGCGGUGCCCGUCGCCCUGGACGCGAUCCUGUCGCGGCGCGUGGGAGCUCGGUUUCCCGCCGCCGACGAUGUCUCCCUCUGCCCGCCUCGCCGCGCCGCGCCUCGCCGCGCAUCCGAGGACGGGGACAAGCCCAAUCAAUGCCCUGCCGUGGCGGCCUCGCCGCCGGCCACCUCUGCAACCUCGCUUCUCCUGGUAGUUCCCCUCUUUCCAUGCUCUGCAUUUCCCUGAUCUGGGUGCCCGUGUUUUUGCUCUCGUGCUAAUGGCUAGCGAAAUCAAAUCCCAAUGCGUAAUGCGAUACGAUACGCGUUCCUCGUACUUUUCCCCUCGGUGAACUGAUCACGGAAUGGAUUCUCGCUUAGCCCAUUCGAGGCUCUCGCAUCGCAUUCAUGUAAUAUCGAUUGAAUUCCUACCGAGGAAUUGGAUAUCGAGACGAAUUUCGUUUCCCCAUGCUUAGGGUGAUAUGAUGAUAUCAACUGAUUGAUUUACAGUUUACACCUUCAAACUUUUUUGCUUAUAAUGCUCGUGAUCGUACAGUUUACUCCCUACUGAUGUAGUGAUGUUUAAUUACAUGGACGUUCAAGAUUUUCCUCCUGUGAGGGUGAACUUUUUAAACCUCCCCAGGAACAUCACUAAAAUUAUCAUCAGCUUACCUUCGUCGGUCCACUUGCCGACGAACCCAUAUGAAGUAGCUUUGCAGGUAGCAUCAGGUUUCAGCAACCUCUCGCAGCUAUAGCCUAGUGAGUAUCCCACAUUGGCGUAUGCACUGUGAAAGAAAAUUUUGCAUCAUUGCUUGGAAGGUGCAAACAUAAUUUUCUUUUAUGCUGACCUUCUUCAUAUUUCUUUUCCAUGCACAUAGUUAAUUUGGAAGGCCAUUGUUGAGGGUAGUAAUGGUUUCAAAGUUGGGGGAUGGAAAUCAUUCCUAUUUCCUAGGCCAUAGUUGAGGGUUUUCCUAGAAAUAAGGAUGUGAACUUACCUGAUAAUUUUGAAUGCUAUGCUGAAAAUGUUGAAAUUUAGUGGAUCAGUAGAUAUUGACUUCCUUUCUGUUAUGCAUGCUAUAAUUGUGAAUAUUGCUAAGCAAGCAGACUUUGAAAUGAUAAAAUUCUUCCAUAUGGCCUGAUCAUUUGAAUUUCUUCCUCGUUCUGUCAAAGGCUUGUUAUCAGCAUUGAUAGGGAGAGCUGAAUUAUCAGAAGGAUAGUACCUGCAAAUAAGUUAAUGGCAUGUUGUCAUUGAAGUUUACGUGGGUACUAGCAUGCUUUUCUAUUUUUUUGAUGAAUUGACUAUCUGGAUUGUGGAAUCUGUUCUUCUCCGCCAUGUUGUGACCUCUGUCAUAGUGCAGGAUUUUAUGGUUGUUUUGAUUUUGUUCUAUGCAUUUAUCUGCUUUUUUUUCUUUUUCGAGUACACAAAUUGCUGACUUAGCUGUAGUAAACAAGUAUGUUUCUCACCGAGACAGUGUUCAUACUUCCAUGUUAUUAUCUAGAACUUCAUUUAAACUGAAACUCUUGCGAGAACAUAAGGCUGGCCUUCAACAAGUGAACUAGUUUUGUGUUCCUUUAUUAAGAUAACUAAGCAAUUUCAACCAAAAAAUAUCUGAAGAUUUUAAGCUCAUAAUUGUUUAUGUUGUUUCGUUCUGAAAUUAUGUGCUUAAUUUAUCCUUUGCAGUUACUGAUGGUGAUUGUGCCAUAUUUAUGAUAAAAUUCUGAAAGUCCUGAUAAAUGCUUCAAAAUAAUAAAUAUUAUGAAAUGUUUAUAGGGAAUACUUACAUGACAAGUGCAAAUAGAACUAGUAUUGGACUCAAUGACAGCUUCACCAGCAUGCCUUGUAUUCACAGUUUCACACUCUGGAACAAUGAGCAAACCAACUUUUCAAAUCAGUUCAUUCCAUUUAAGGCACUUGAGUUCCACUCAAAAUAGGAAAGAAACAUCACUUGCAGCAGAACUAGCCCCCCAACAGUGAGAACCAUGUUGACUGAAUUCUUCUGCAAUUGCAAAUACCUGUAGCCAGUAUCCUCUGGAUGCUGAAGGAUGUAGGCAUAUUCUUCUCUUCUGCUAACCUUCCUCAAGAUCCAUAUGCUUAACCUCAAUAGUGGCGAUAAUAUAGUGUUGCCUGCUAGAACCUGUGGGGUAACCAGAAGUUAUAGACUGGAUUUCUUUCUGAAUAUUGCCAUGUUAUCAUUUACCGGGGUGAAGCCGCAGUUUGCAAAUGAGGAUACUGCUGUGAAGAUGGAAAACGUCCAUAUUUUGAUAUCUUUACUCUUCAGGAGUUGUCUUGUAUCUGAGUCAAUCUGAGCAAAAAUAAUAAUGACUAAGGAGCUGCAAACAACAGCUGCUAUGAAGUAGCCUGUCACUAUAUGAGCCAACAUAUUGCGGCACUUCUGUUUCAUGGUUCUGCUUCCCUGUACCCAGUUAAGUGAUAUGGUUGCUUCUGAUUGGAAGCCUUGUGAACUAUUUUGAUUGCUAUCAUUUACAGCAUCAAAGGAUUCAAUAUUCCUUCUCGUCGAAGGUGAUCUUUUUGGGAGGACUUCGUUUGUGUUGGUCUCAGCAUUGUUGAAGUGCAGCGCCAGCAUUGAAAUGGAUACUUCUCCUCCCAAUAUCAUCAGAAGUAUUAACACCCAGAGUUGCUGGUUAGAAAAGUCUUCCAUCUCUACUGUUGCCAUGCUUGAGACUGCUGCUGUGGACACAGAAGUGAACAUCAAAUCCAGGUCCCUUGGAGUUGGCUUGUGUCGUGGCUUGAGGAUCUUCAGAGCAAGGAAACCAACAAAGGAUAUUGAGAUGAAGUACACAAGUUGAACUAUUAAUGGAUUGCUUUGGAACAUGAAAAACCAGAAACAGCGUCUGAAGAAACACACUGCACAUUUGGAGAGGGAACGAAGCCUCAUGGAGAUAAACACAUGGAGGUGCUUAACUUUCUCUGUAAUGUCCCUAACCACUUGGAACUUGGGCUGUGGGAUUUUCAUGGCUAAUGGCAGAUGCUGUGAUGUAACUAGGAUUGAACUGAAUGGAUGCAUCAUUGGAGGUUUGUGGGCAUAGUGUUCAGUAUGCUGGAGUUGGCUACUGGAAGGUGUUUCUUAGGUUUCAAUGAUUCUGUCUUUGCCACCAUUGCUCACUGCAACCAAGUUCUGGAUCUUAAUAUGUAGGAUGGUGUAAGACAGAUGUGCCCAUUUUGCAGAAUCAUGAUGCUGAUGGUGUGUACAGGGCCCCAACCCAGGCAUGAUUGGUGUAUGCACAAGCAUGUGCUUAGAAUAUUAUAAUGCCUAACUACUAUAUGUUCUUGAGUGAAAUGAUUGUCAGCAAUUAGAAUCCUUCAUUCACAUUUUUUGAGUCAUAAGAAUAUCCUCAAUUUAGAUUAGCUGUUUGUCUUCACACGUAAACCUGCUCUGCCUCAAUAAUUCACUCUUUUUUAAUCUAUUAUUAUCAUACGGUAUUGUAAAAAAUUAGUUGUGUUCUUCUUUAGCUGAAAUCAGUAAUGUUGCAUGUGCAACUAGUUUUGGACUACAAAUUUGUCCCUGUUUUCCUAAUAGAAUUCACCUGUGUAUCAUGAUACUGAAAUUUAGUUAUAGUAACCAUUAUUUUGAAUUUACUACUGCAUAUUGCUGUUCAGUCCAUUGUUGAAGAUUCUGGUAUCAAAGUUAUGGCUAAUUUUGGUUUUCCUUUGCAUUCACUUAAUUGAACAUUUAUAUAUUUAUUAUAACAGAUUACAAUUUGUUACCUCGUUUUAUUUUUGUAUGUAGCUGAGGUUUAUCUUUCAGAUUCCACAAAUACUAGAUUGUUUGCUUUAUUGCUAUAUAAUCAACAUCUUCUGUAGUGGGAACAAGUGUACCAGAAUGCACAAUGUGUAGUGGAGAUUUUCUUUCCCUUUUCCCUUUUAUUCUCUCUUUUUUUCACUGAUGCACCCUUGGUUGCACGUGUGUCCUUUUUAAUUUCUAUCAGAAAAGUGUAGUGACUAGGAUAAGCAAUCUAGUGUUUUUUCAAUCUUUGUGAUCUCAGCUCUCAGGUUCUUCUAGAUGCCCUUGCUUCAGAAGAAAGUACUUCUGGACGUACUGUAUGAACUGAUCACCACUUGAUAGACAUCUACAUAUCUUUUAACAUGUGGGUAUUUAAGUAUUGCAGCCAUCACAAUGACAUCCGGCCUUUUACUAGCAUUACAUGGAUGCAAUAAAUGGUCAUUGCAGGGAGCCAGUGACAGAAGCAUCUCUAUGUGAAGUGAAUCAGGUUAAUUAGCCUAUGUUGAUUUCUUGUGAUGAACUUUCAUUCACCUGAUCUGAAACUGCCAACACUUGGAGUGGAGGGUGAGCUUUGUGCAAGGAUGACAGUGGAAGGUUCCUGUCUAUGUGAAAAUGAAUAUACAAACAAACGGAAGAGAAAGAGUACAUCUUUAUACUUUUUUCCUACCCUCAGGGACCUGCAAUGUUCAGCUGGUACUGCAUCUAAGAUCUAACUAAGUUUCCAGGCUUUGCCUCCUUUCAUGCUGAACUUCUUGAGCCUCCCAAAGAACAUCACAAAAAUGAGUAUCAGUUUGCCAGAGUCGCUCCAUCUCCCUACGAAACCAGUCCAUUUAUCUGUGCAGAGAUGGUCUGGAUUGAUCUGUCUACUGCAACUGUAGCCCAUUGAGAACCCCACAUUUCCAUAUGCACUGCAAAUGUGGGCAGAUCCGUCAGAUUCCACGAAAGAAAACAUUACUAUUUUCAUUGUGUAUUAUUAAGAUUCAGAAAUACCUGACAAGUGUUACUUUGUGUUUUGCUGUUUUCAUCAGAUAAAUUGUUAAUUUACUUGGUCUGCAUUUUUUUUCUCAGGUAAGAAACCAUUUAGUCUGACUUGCCUGACAACUUCGACAACAAUGCUUAGCACACUGAAGUUGAGGGGGUCUUCUUUGAGCUUU